GACGGCUGAGUAACGCGUAGGAAUUUACCCCAAAGUCGUGAAUAACCUCUCGAAAGGGAGGAUAAUACACGAUGGUCCUAGACUUGUUCUAGGUAAAGAUUUAUCGCUUUGGGAUAAGCCUGCGUCUUAUCAGGUAGUUGGUGAGGUAAAGGCUCACCAAGCCUACGACGAGUAGCUGGUCUGAGAGGAUGUCCAGCCAGAAUGGGACUGCGAUACGGCCCAUACUCC
Molecule: ribosomal RNA, 228 nt
Filed under: uncultured bacterium
Lineage: Bacteria
Description: partial 16S ribosomal RNA
Rfam family: Bacterial small subunit ribosomal RNA
Source: RNAcentral